GACCUCGUAGCUCAACUUGUAGAGCAUGCACUGUAAAAAUGCCCUGGCGGUGUUCGUACGUGGGUUCGAAUCCCACUAAGGCUA
Molecule: transfer RNA, 84 nt
Filed under: Echinostoma caproni
Lineage: Eukaryota; Metazoa; Platyhelminthes; Trematoda; Plagiorchiida; Echinostomatidae
Rfam family: tRNA
About the family: Transfer RNA (tRNA) molecules are approximately 80 nucleotides in length. Their secondary structure includes four short double-helical elements and three loops (D, anti-codon, and T loops). Further hydrogen bonds mediate the characteristic L-shaped molecular structure. tRNAs have two regions of fundamental functional importance: the anti-codon, which is responsible for specific mRNA codon recognition, and the 3' end, to which the tRNAs corresponding amino acid is attached (by aminoacyl-tRNA synthetases). tRNAs cope with the degeneracy of the genetic code in two manners: having more than one tRNA (with a specific anti-codon) for a particular amino acid; and 'wobble' base-pairing, i.e. permitting non-standard base-pairing at the 3rd anti-codon position.
Source: Rfam by way of RNAcentral